This 722-nucleotide ribosomal RNA is filed under the name Boana raniceps (Chaco treefrog). RNAcentral describes it as "partial 16S ribosomal RNA". It matches the Rfam family "Bacterial large subunit ribosomal RNA", at positions 1926 to 2925 of the family's 2925-position model. Lineage: Eukaryota; Metazoa; Chordata; Amphibia; Anura; Hylidae. The record is from RNAcentral.
AACGGCCGCGGUAUCCUAACCGUGCGAAGGUAGCGUAAUCACUUGUUCUUUAAAUGAGGACUAGUAUGAAUGGCACCACGAGGGUUAAACUGUCUCCUUUUUUUAAUCAGUGAAACUAAUUUCCCCGUGAAGAAGCGGGGAUUCUUUUAUAAGACGAGAAGACCCUAUGGAGCUUUAAACAAGUUAACACCUGCUACUAAUCNNUUCACUUUCCUGAACCACCACAUUAAGUAUAGCACCUCUGAUUAACAGUUUUCGAUUGGGGUGAUCAUGGAGCAAAAAUCAACCUCCACGACGAAAAGGAACACCUCCUUGAGCCAAAAGCUACAACUUUAAGCACUAAAAAACUAACGCACUUUGACCCAAUUCUUUGAGCAACGAACCAAGUUACCCUAGGGAUAACAGCGCAAUCCACUUUAAGAGCUCCUAUCGACAAGUGGGUUUACGACCUCGAUGUUGGAUCAGGGUAUCCCAGUGGUGCAGCCGCUACUAAAGGUUCGUUUGUUCAACGAUUAAAACCCUACGUGAUCUGAGUUCAGACCGGAGUAAUCCAGGUCAGUUUCUAUCUAUAAAGGGCUUUUUCUAGUACGAAAGGACCGAAAAAGCAUGGCCUAUAACCCAUCAAGCCAUAUAAAUUACUAUUGUUCCCAACUUAAAUAGAAGUAAACCUACCACUUAUCUCGAUAAAAGAGAAGUUAACGUAGCAUAACCUGGCCUUGCAG